GAUGAAGAACGCAGCGAAAUGCGAUAAGUAAUGUGAAUUGCAGAAUUCAGUGAAUCAUCGAAUCUUUGAACGCACAUUGCGCCCGCCAGUAUUCUGGCGGGCAUGCCUGUCCGAGCGUCAUUUCAACCCUCGAACCCCUCCGGGGGGUCGGCGUUGGGGACCUCGGGAGCCCCUAAGACGGGAUCCCGGCCCCGAAAUACAGUGGCGGUCUCGCCGCAGCCUCUCCUGCGCAGUAGUUUGCACAACACGCACCGGGAGCGCGGCGCGUCCACGUCCGUAAAACACCCAACUUCUGAAAUGUUGACCUCGGAUCAGGUAGGAAUACCCGCUGAACUUAAGCAUAUCAUAAGCGGAGGA
Molecule: unclassified non-coding RNA, 357 nt
Filed under: soil metagenome
Description: partial contains 5.8S ribosomal RNA, internal transcribed spacer 2, and large subunit ribosomal RNA
Rfam family: 5.8S ribosomal RNA (bases 1-120)
Source: RNAcentral